CGAACCGUACAAACGUUAUUCGGAAUCACUGGGCUUAAAGGGUGCGUAGGCGGCGCUGAAAGUUGGGUGUGAAAUCCCUCGGCUCAACCGAGGAACUGCGCCCAAAACUACAGUGCUUGAGGGAGAUAGAGGUGAGCGGAACUUAGGGUGGAGCGGUGAAAUGCGUUGAUAUCCUAAGGAACGCCAGGGGCGAAAGCGGCUCACUGGGUCUCUUCUGACGCUGAGGCACGAAAGCUAGGGUAGCGAACGGGAUUAGAUACCCCGGUAGUCCUAGCCGUAAACGAUGAGUACUAGAUGGAAGGGCCCUCCAUAGCCUUUCCAUCGAAGCGAAAGUGUUUAGUACUCCGCCUGGGGAGUAUGGUCGCAAGGCUG
This 372-nucleotide ribosomal RNA is filed under the name uncultured organism. RNAcentral's name for it is "bacterial SSU rRNA". It matches the Rfam family "Bacterial small subunit ribosomal RNA", at positions 526 to 896 of the family's 1533-position model. The record is from RNAcentral.